GGGUUGUGAGGUUAAGCGAACAAGCGUACACGGUGGAUGCCCUGGCAGUCAGAGGCGAUGAAGGACGUGCUAAUCUGCGAAAAGCGCCGGUAAGGUGAUAUGAACCGUUAUAACCGGCGAUGUCCGAAUGGGGAAACCCGGUGCACUUCGGUGCAUCAUCGUUAGCUGAAUACAUAGGCUAACGAGGCGAACCGGGGGAACUGAAACAUCUAAGUACCCCGAGGAAAAGAAAUCAACCGAGAUUCCCCCAGUAGCGGCGAGCGAACGGGGAACAGCCCAGAGCCUGAAUCAGCUUGUGUGUCAGUGGAACGGUCUGGAAAGGCCGGCGAUACAGGGUGACAGCCCCGUACACGAAGGCACACAGGCUGUGAGCUCGAUGAGUAGGGCGGGACACGUGAUAUCCUGUCUGAAGAUGGGGGGACCAUCCUCCAAGGCUAAAUACUCCUGACUGACCGAUAGUGAACCAGUACCGUGAGGGAAAGGCGAAAAGAACCCCGGCGAGGGGAGUGAAACAGAACCUGAAACCGUGUACGUACAAGCAGUGGGAGCCUUCGUAAGAGGGUGACUGCGUACCUUUUGUAUAAUGGGUCAGCGACUUAUAUUCUGUAGCAAGGUUAACCGUAUAGGGGAGCCGAAGGGAAACCGAGUCUUAACCGGGCGUUAAGUUGCAGGGUAUAGACCCGAAACCCGGUGAUCUAGCCAUGGGCAGGUUGAAGGUUGGGUAACACUAACUGGAGGACCGAACCGACUAAUGUUGAAAAAUUAGCGGAUGACCUGUGGCUGGGGGUGAAAGGCCAAUCAAACCGGGAGAUAGCUGGUUCUCCCCGAAAGCUAUUUAGGUAGCGCCUCGUGAAUUCAUCUCCGGGGGUAGAGCACUGUUUCGGCUAGGGGGCCAUCCCGGCUUACCAACCCGAUGCAAACUGCGAAUACCGGAGAAUGUUAUCACGGGAGACACACGGCGGGUGCUAACGUCCGUCGUGAAGAGGGAAACAACCCAGACCGCCAGCUAAGGUCCCAAAGUCAUGGUUAAGUGGGAAACGAUGUGGGAAGGCCCAGACAGCCAGGAUGUUGGCUUAGAAGCAGCCAUCAUUUAAAGAAAGCGUAAUAGCUCACUGGUCGAGUCGGCCUGCGCGGAAGAUGUAACGGGGCUAAACCAUGCACCGAAGCUGCGGCAGCGACACUAUGUGUUGUUGGGUAGGGGAGCGUUCUGUAAGCCUGNNNNNNNNNNNNNNNNNNNNNNNNNNNNNNNNNNNNNNNNNNNNNAGGCUGAGGCGUGAUGACGAGGCACCACGGUGCUGAAGUGACAAAUGCCCUGCUUCCAGGAAAAGCCUCUAAGCAUCAGGUAACAUUAAAUCGUACCCCAAACCGACACAGGUGGUCAGGUAGAGAAUACCAAGGCGCUUGAGAGAACUCGGGUGAAGGAACUAGGCAAAAUGGUGCCGUAACUUCGGGAGAAGGCACGCUGACAUGUAGGUGAAGCCCCUGCGGGUGGAGCUGAAGUCAGUCGAAGAUACCAGCUGGCUGCAACUGUUUAUUAAAAACACAGCACUGUGCAAACACGAAAGUGGACGUAUACGGUGUGACGCCUGCCCGGUGCCGGAAGGUUAAUUGAUGGGGUUAUCGCAAGAGAAGCUCCUGAUCGAAGCCCCGGUAAACGGCGGCCGUAACUAUAACGGUCCUAAGGUAGCGAAAUUCCUUGUCGGGUAAGUUCCGACCUGCACGAAUGGCGUAAUGAUGGCCAGGCUGUCUCCACCCGAGACUCAGUGAAAUUGAACUCGCUGUGAAGAUGCAGUGUACCCGCGGCAAGACGGAAAGACCCCGUGAACCUUUACUACAGCUUGACACUGAACAUUGAGCCUUGAUGUGUAGGAUAGGUGGGAGGCUUUGAAGCGUGGACGCCAGUCUGCGUGGAGCCGACCUUGAAAUACCACCCUUUAAUGUUUGAUGUUCUAACCUGGCGCCGUGAUCCGGCGUGGGGACAGUGUCUGGUGGGUAGUUUGACUGGGGCGGUCUCCUCCCAAAGUGUAACGGAGGAGCACGAAGGUCAGCUAAUCCUGGUCGGACAUCAGGAGGUUAGUGCAAUGGCAUAAGCUGGCUUGACUGCGAGAGUGACGGCUCGAGCAGGUGCGAAAGCAGGUCAUAGUGAUCCGGUGGUUCUGUAUGGAAGGGCCAUCGCUCAACGGAUAAAAGGUACUCCGGGGAUAACAGGCUGAUACCGCCCAAGAGUUCAUAUCGACGGCGGUGUUUGGCACCUCGAUGUCGGCUCAUCACAUCCUGGGGCUGAAGUAGGUCCCAAGGGUAUGGCUGUUCGCCAUUUAAAGUGGUACGCGAGCUGGGUUUAGAACGUCGUGAGACAGUUCGGUCCCUAUCUGCCGUGGGCGCUGGAGAAUUGAGGGGGGCUGCUCCCAGUACGAGAGGACCGGAGUGGACGCAUCACUGGUGUUCGGGUUGUCAUGCCAAUGGCACUGCCCGGUAGCUAAAUGCGGAAGAGAUAAGUGCUGAAAGCAUCUAAGCACGAAACUUGCCCCGAGAUGAGUUCUCCCUGAGACUGUAAGUCUCCUGAAGGAACGUUGAAGACGACGACGUUGAUAGGCCGGGUGUGUAAGCGCAGCGAUGCG
This 2618-nucleotide ribosomal RNA is filed under the name Cronobacter sakazakii. RNAcentral's name for it is "bacterial LSU rRNA". It matches the Rfam family "Bacterial large subunit ribosomal RNA". Lineage: Bacteria; Pseudomonadati; Pseudomonadota; Gammaproteobacteria; Enterobacterales; Enterobacteriaceae. The record is from RNAcentral.